GACGAGUGGCGGAUGGGUGAGUAACGCGUAUGCAACCUUCCUCACACCGAGAAAAAGUCGACUGAAAAGUUGAAUAAAGUCUCGUGGUGUGCAUUUCUCGCAUGAGAGAUGUAUGAUAGAAGCAAUUUGGUGUGAGAUGGGCAUGCGUAUCAUUAGCUAGUUGGUAAGGUAACGGCUUACCAAGGCGACGAUGAUUAGGGGGCCUGAGAGGGUGGUCCCCCACACUGGGACUGAGACACGGCCCAGACUCC
This 251-nucleotide ribosomal RNA is filed under the name uncultured bacterium. RNAcentral's name for it is "partial 16S ribosomal RNA". It matches the Rfam family "Bacterial small subunit ribosomal RNA", at positions 90 to 339 of the family's 1533-position model. The record is from RNAcentral.